CUCGACUUCCCAUCAGACCAACCAUCACACAAAAUAGUGGCCCCAUAUUUCUCCCACCCAUCUCUUUGAGAAAUCAAAAUUUUCUUGACAUCAAAUACAACAUCUUUCAACAAGGGCUCCCUAACCUCAUGUAGUGAAGGAGGAACAAGUCCUGGGCCAUAUUGCCUAAUUGUCUGGACCAUACAUGCAAAGCUAUCGAGAGUUAUAGUAUUAAAAGGAAU
Molecule: long non-coding RNA, 221 nt
Filed under: Amborella trichopoda
Lineage: Eukaryota; Viridiplantae; Streptophyta; Magnoliopsida; Amborellales; Amborellaceae
Description: long non-coding RNA (ATRI_LNC000089)
Source: RNAcentral